Molecule: transfer RNA, 73 nt
Filed under: Bos taurus (domestic cattle)
Lineage: Eukaryota; Metazoa; Chordata; Mammalia; Artiodactyla; Bovidae
Also listed under: 5 other names
Rfam family: tRNA
About the family: Transfer RNA (tRNA) molecules are approximately 80 nucleotides in length. Their secondary structure includes four short double-helical elements and three loops (D, anti-codon, and T loops).
Source: Rfam by way of RNAcentral
UCCCUGGUGGCUCAAAUGGGUAAAGAAUCUGCCUGCAAUGCAGGAGACCCAGGUUCAAUUCCUGGGUCGGGAA